RNAcentral lists this transfer RNA (84 nucleotides) under Planctomycetia bacterium. RNAcentral describes it as "tRNA-Leu". It matches the Rfam family "tRNA". From Rfam's summary of the family: Transfer RNA (tRNA) molecules are approximately 80 nucleotides in length. Their secondary structure includes four short double-helical elements and three loops (D, anti-codon, and T loops). The record is from RNAcentral. Lineage: Bacteria; Pseudomonadati; Planctomycetota; Planctomycetia.
GCGGAAGUGGCGGAAUUGGCAGACGCGUUAGGUUGAGGGCCUAAUGAAGGUAACUUCGUGCAGGUUCAAGUCCUGUCUUCCGCA